This 116-nucleotide ribosomal RNA is filed under the name Verrucomicrobiota bacterium. The record is from RNAcentral. Lineage: Bacteria; Pseudomonadati; Verrucomicrobiota.
UGUGGCGGCGACGAAGCUUCGGAUCGACCCGUUCCCAUUCCGAACACGGACGUCAAACGAGGCAUUGCCUAUGGUAGUGCAUGUAUAGCUUGCGCGAGAGUAGGUAGCCGCCACAU